CUUUUUUUUUCAGGAGAUUUCAUUUCUUCAAAAAAAAAUGGGGAUCAGUGGUCACUUUACAGUGUAGAAACAGUAGAGGUCUGACUUAUUUUCCUUUAGAUUUAAGGAUUCUAUGUAAUCAUAGCGUAAAGAAACUUUAUUCCUGUUGAAUAGCCAGUAUCUAUCCCGAAAAAGUCUUCCCAUUACUGCCAAUUCACAAGUGAUAGUAAAGAUCAAAUAUCCUUCCUAGAUUCCUUAAAGGUAAAGAAGUGAAAGAGGUAAGUACACAUCAGGAAGACAAACAUGGAAGUUAAUUUGAAUAUAUACCGUAUCUUCUUUAAUACAAUACCUAGACAGUAUCUAAAUAUGAAAAUGAAGUUCUGAAAUCCCAAAAUGAUGUAAAAGCUGAAGUCCAGACCGUGAGCAUAAAGAGCAGAUGAGAAACAAAUCAGAUCAGUCAGCAAAUAAAGGAAUGCUUUAUUAAAUAGUUUUUAAGGUGAAAAAAAUCUAUAUAUGAAAUGUAUUUAUCUGCUGCAUAGGGUGACGUUGGAAUAUUCCAGGUUACAUGACAGAAAGAAACACCAUUCCCAGAAGACUACAGGAGAAAGAUUUAUACAACCUGACAGAUCAGUACAGACCUUACCCCAAGAUCCAGAUUUGUCUCAGGACUCUUUCAUCAGCAUCAUCCCUGCACAGCUGGAGCUAAUGAAGCAUGCCCAAACAGGGCUGCAGAUAGGAGACAACAAAGCAGUUUUCUGCCAGCAGCACAUUGCCUGAAGAAAGCUACAUCUAUGCCUGUGCAAUUUGCAGCUGAGUUAUGAGGCUAGAAAUGGGCUCCGAUAUUUGCUUGCAGUGGAGAUCACAUCCUGGCCAGGAGUUCGAAACCACUGAGUCCAAACUUUGGCAAUCCAUAUCUUCAGAGUAGGAAGGAUGCUGAGCCUGGGAAUAGCGUUUGCCUGCUCUUCAUUCCAACUGAGGGCCAAACAUCUGGUGGUUUCUUCAUGAAUUUACUUGGACCUGAAGAUACUUCAUUUUCAGUAGCUGAACAGAAGAUAUCUGGGGAAGAAAGUAAAUAAAAUGGAUGAAAAAGAAAAAAGAAAAAGAAGU
Molecule: long non-coding RNA, 1086 nt
Filed under: Numida meleagris (helmeted guineafowl)
Lineage: Eukaryota; Metazoa; Chordata; Aves; Galliformes; Numididae
Description: lncRNA (ENSNMEG00000017317.1)
Source: RNAcentral